This 85-nucleotide transfer RNA is filed under the name Buchnera aphidicola. RNAcentral's name for it is "tRNA-Ser". It matches the Rfam family "tRNA". Rfam says of the family: Transfer RNA (tRNA) molecules are approximately 80 nucleotides in length. Their secondary structure includes four short double-helical elements and three loops (D, anti-codon, and T loops). The record is from RNAcentral. Lineage: Bacteria; Pseudomonadati; Pseudomonadota; Gammaproteobacteria; Enterobacterales; Erwiniaceae.
GGAGAGAUGGCCGAGUGGUUUAAGGCAGCGGUCUUGAAAACCGCCGAUAAGAAAUUGUCCGAGAGUUCGAAUCUCUCUCUCUCCG